GAUGAAGAACGUAGCGAAAUGCGAUAAGUAGUGUGAAUUGCAGAAUUCAGUGAAUCAUCGAAUCUUUGAACGCACAUUGCGCCCCUUGGUAUUCCAUGGGGCAUGCCUGUUCGAGCGUCAUUUGUACCUUCAAGCUUUGCUUGGUGUCGGGUGUUUGUCCUGAGGGACUCGCCUUAAAGUAAUUGGCAGCCAGUGUUUGGUUUUGAAGCGCAGCACAAGUCGCGAUUCAAGGCUAUACACCAGCUUCCACAAGCCUUUUUCACUUUUGACCUCGGAUCAGGUAGGGAUACCCGCUGAACUUAAGCAUAUCAAUAAGCGGAGGA
RNAcentral lists this unclassified non-coding RNA (323 nucleotides) under soil metagenome. Its description in RNAcentral is "partial contains 5.8S ribosomal RNA, internal transcribed spacer 2, and large subunit ribosomal RNA". The stretch from base 1 to 120 matches the Rfam family "5.8S ribosomal RNA", at positions 35 to 154 of the family's 154-position model. The record is from RNAcentral.